GUGAAGCGGGAAGUGCUCAAGCUUAAAAUCUCCGUUGCUUGCAACGGCGAAUUGUAGUCUCGAGAAGCGUUUUCAAGGCGGAUACACAGUGCUUAAGUUGCUUGGAACGGCACAUCGUAGAGGGUGACAAUCCCGUACGUGGUGCUGUGUACUGUUCACGAUGCGCUUUCUAUGAGUCGGGUUGCUUGGGAAUGCAGCCCAAAAUGGGAGGUAAACUCCUUCUAAAGCUAAAUAUUGGCACGAGACCGAUAGCGAACAAGUACCGUGAGGGAAAGAUGAAAAGCACUUUGAAAAGAAAGUUAAUAGUACGUGAAACCGUUGGAAGGGAAGCGCAUGGAAUUAGCAAUGCUCUGUCGAGACUCAGACGAGCGGUGGACUGUACGGAUAUUGUACGGAUCUGAAUGGACUGUCGGUAGUCGUCACAGUUUGCUGAUUGUCGCAUUUCCCGGCAGUGUGCGUCAACAGCUGUUGGAACCGAGUGAUGAGCCCCGCAAGAAGGUAGCUGGCUUCGGUUAGUGUUAUAGCUUGUGGUGUGCGAGCUCGGGUCCGACAGAGGCGUCGCAGCACAUGCUCUUUUGGGCUGGCUUCUCUCUUCUCAGUCAGAUGUCGACCAUAGCGGACUGCGUGCAGUGCGUUUGAACUGUUUCUGGCUGUCGUUGGGAUGAAUGCACACAUUGUGCUAAGGUUGUUGGCGGUCAUAUGAUUUCAUGC
RNAcentral lists this ribosomal RNA (711 nucleotides) under Rhabderemia sp. JAD-2021. RNAcentral's name for it is "partial large subunit ribosomal RNA". It matches the Rfam family "Eukaryotic large subunit ribosomal RNA", at positions 93 to 645 of the family's 3401-position model. The record is from RNAcentral. Lineage: Eukaryota; Metazoa; Porifera; Demospongiae; Biemnida; Rhabderemiidae.